Daphnia pulicaria is the source of this 301-nucleotide long non-coding RNA. RefSeq lists it as uncharacterized. The transcript is spliced from 2 exons. The record is from RefSeq and is a predicted model, not a curated record. NCBI's taxonomy places the organism in Eukaryota, Metazoa, Arthropoda, Branchiopoda, Diplostraca, Daphniidae.
CGGACGCUCUCUUUAUUGAAUUUUUUGUACAUUAGAAAAUAAAAACCAGUUAAAUGCAUUAUUUAUUUAUUACAGACAUCACAUUAUUAGGGUUUAACAUUGGUUUAUGUGGUUUAGAGUAUAAGUUUGAAGGUUGGUAGGUGUACGUUUGUGGGGUUUGAAGAAUUGGAAGGUAAACGUUUGUGGGGUUUGAAGAUUAAUUAGUAGGGAUAUGUUUGUGGGGUUAUAGAUUAACUGAAUUUUUAUCCAAACUUGAAAUAUCCUACCCCCUCCAACAUCAUCCCUUUCCUUUCCCAACCCC